GGGGGGAUGUAUGAGAGGAGAUCUGAGCCAAGGAUGUAGCUUAAUUUAUUUAUUUUACUUUUUAUUCUCGGUUUGUUGGCAUUUGCUAAUAUAAUGUGUAUUCAACAAUAAAUUAUAGUUGUUUGUCUUAAGCUUAAAUGGUCUUAUUAUCAGUUGAUGUGUUCAUGUAGUUAGGUACUAAAUCAGCAUAUGCUAUCUUCACCCAUUCUUUUUUUUUUUUUGUUUUCCACUUUUAUGCAAUUUCAUUGGAAUAUUUUUUAAGUCUAUAUUUUGUUUAGAUAUUUUGACCGAAAGUACAAGUGACAGAUUGAUCUUGCCAUCUUGGAUACUUGGCUGACUGGUUCACUUGGUUACUUUUUGAUAGUUGGUUUGUUCUCUUGUUAGUUCAGCACACGAAUGCACAUGGGUUAUCAGGUUUGUGUAUUUAUCAAUGGAAAAUAUUAUUGCGUUCCUACAUGCACUAUGCUUUUACAUACAUAUAGUAUGUAUAAAAAAACAUUCUUCCAUGAUGAUUACUUUAACUUUUGUAAAUUAAAACUAUUAUAGAAAACCCCAAAAAGGAUUAUUUUCAAGGUCAUGAAAGCGUACUCAAAGGUCCUCCUCCAUCACUUCAAGUGUCAAAGGUUGUGAACUAUGUAUCUUGGUACACUUCUUUCUAUCCCUCAAGGCCUCAACAUGUUGUUCUCCACUUCUUUUUUGGGUAUAAGUUAUUUUCUCCAUGUUUAUGAUUAUCAUUAUGAUUAUUGAUGGUAAGGCCUAGCUCUCUCCGCAUUCAGUUACUUGAAUCAACUGGUGUGCUUACUUUUGUGCUUUUAAUAUAUUUUAUCGCUUUCAUAUUGUACUUACAAGUUUAAUGAUCAGCUAUAUUCUUUUAAUAUUAUGGAACGUAUGGUGACUAAAUCUAGCAUGCAAAAACUUUUCUCCUUUUUAGAAAAGAUAGUAUUCUAAUGCAUGAAAUAACUAGUGAUCGAGGAGGUUUUAUAUUCAUAUCUGAAAGUUCUAGCUUUGAUGUUGCUUAUUAUUUGUGACUACAAGAGUUUUUUUAAUUUUCAUUUGGCUAGAUAGGUAGGGUGAUUUUUGAUACAAUAGCAUGUAGUAGUAUUAUCUUUCGGAAUUAAAUACUUCAUAAAAUUAUACUAUUGUUAGAUAUUGAGUUUUAUUUGUGAGUUGAAUUACAAUAACUCUUUAGCACACUGUAUUAUUACCAUGAGAUAUUUUCUGUUCUAUGAAUUCAUCUACUAAGAUUAAGGACAAAUAAAAUAAGGAAUCAAGGAUAGUUUUGCAUAAGUAUUGUAGAGUAUAUUUGGUAACUGUGACAUGGUAUAACUUUGUUUGUUUCCUUGAUUUAUAAGUCUUUGCAAAUUACAUAUACAAAUACACUUAUAAAAAAGUACAGUUUAUGCAAAAGCGGUGACAGUAACAAACCAAAAAUUUGAGAAAGAAAAAUAUAUAUAUUACCUAGGUUGAGUGUCAUUUCAAAUAUAAGGUGCUCUUCCAGACAGAGUAACAUAAAAUCGUCAAUGGUACUUGGCUGAUCAAGCAUUAGAAGUUCGUUGAUUAACUUUUGAUUGGGAAGUUAUAGAGUUAGUACCAUCUUGAGCUAACUAUAUCUUGAAUAAAAUUUUAUGUUUGUUUAUAUCUUCUCCAAUAUUUCGUGAACUCUAAAUUAUUUUCGUUUGUUGACUCUGGUAGAAGCUGAUCAUUCAUCAAAGGGAGAUUCAAAAGAACCCCAUGACCGAGUUUUUUAGGAUCACUAUGUGGAUGCAAGAUUAUACACUAACAAAACGACAUCAAAAUUCAAAAUAUUGGGCCCGUGCUAUGCACGUACCGAGCCUUAUAGGGCCAGACAUUUAUUUUACUUUCUAUAUUGAAGGAGUUGAGUCAGUAU
This is a non-coding RNA of Nicotiana tabacum (common tobacco), 1888 nucleotides long. The record is from RefSeq and is a predicted model, not a curated record. Lineage: Eukaryota; Viridiplantae; Streptophyta; Magnoliopsida; Solanales; Solanaceae.